GACGAGGGGUCCAAGCGUUGUUCGGAAUCAUUGGGCGUAAAGCGGGUGCAGGUGGCUUCGUAAGUCAGGAGUGAAAGCCCCGAGCUUAACUUGGGAAGUGCUUUUGAUACUGCGGAGCUUGAGUGUGGGAGAGGAUCGUGGAAUUCCUGGUGUAGUGGUGAAAUACGUAGAUAUCAGGAGGAACACCGGUGGCGAAGGCGGCGAUCUGGCCCAACACUGACACUCAGACCCGAAAGCGUGGGGAUCAAACAGG
This 253-nucleotide ribosomal RNA is filed under the name uncultured bacterium. RNAcentral describes it as "partial 16S ribosomal RNA". It matches the Rfam family "Bacterial small subunit ribosomal RNA", at positions 524 to 776 of the family's 1533-position model. The record is from RNAcentral.